This 103-nucleotide microRNA precursor is filed under the name Marmota monax (woodchuck). Lineage: Eukaryota; Metazoa; Chordata; Mammalia; Rodentia; Sciuridae. The record is from RNAcentral.
AUUUCAAUCACCUGGGGAUCCUGCUGAAAGGCAGAUUCUGAUACAGCCGGUGGGGGAUGGGAGCCUGAGAUUCUGCCUUUCUAAGUAGCUUGGUGGUGCCAUC